RNAcentral lists this ribosomal RNA (1559 nucleotides) under Meliola citri-maximae. RNAcentral's name for it is "eukaryotic LSU rRNA". The stretch from base 625 to 1559 matches the Rfam family "Eukaryotic large subunit ribosomal RNA", at positions 1 to 941 of the family's 3401-position model. The record is from RNAcentral. Lineage: Eukaryota; Fungi; Ascomycota; Sordariomycetes; Meliolales; Meliolaceae.
GUCUCUCUAUCACACCCCACAACCCUUGUGAAUGUAUGGUUUAAUUUUAUUUUGGACUUGUUGCCUCGGUGGGCGGCUCCAGGGCGGAGCCGGUAAGCUCAUCGGUUUUUGAGUGCUCACCGUUGGCCCCCUAUAUGGAAAUGCUUUGUCUUUGAAUGAAUUUCUGACUGGUGGAAACGCCGGAAGAAUUAUACUAAAAACAAAUAAAACAAAACUUUCAACAACGGAUCUCUUGGCUCCGGCAACGAUGAAGAACGCAGCGAAUUGCGAUAAGUAAUGCGAAUCGCAGAACCUAGUGAGUCAUCGAGUUUUUGAACGCACAUUGCGCCUGUCAGUUUAUUCUGGCAGGCAUGCCUGUUCGAGCGUCGUCUUCCAUCCCCUCGGGCUUUUAUAUGUCUGGUGUUGGGACUCACCCUAGUCCCUCCUCUCCCGAAGCUCUAGAUGUCUUCUGGAGCGGCGGUAACUACUUGGGUGGUCCUGAAAAUGAGUGGCGGCUUCGUGAUAGCCUUUGAAUGUAGUAAUGCUCUUCGUUCAGAAAAGGCCAAACGCGACGUGCCAGCCUCGCUGACGUGUUUUUUCUUCUCUUCGGGGAAAAAAAAAAAAACAAAAAAAAAAAAAAGAUGUCGACCUCGUGUCAGGUAGGAUUACCCGCUGAACUUAAGCAUAUCAAUAAGCGGAGGACAAGAAACCAACAGGGAUUGCCCCAGUAACUGCGAGUGAAGCGGCAACAGCCCAGAUUUGAAAUCCGGCUCUCUUGCGAGAGUCUGAGUUGUAAUCUGUAGAGGAUGUCGCUGGCCAACAGCUGCUUCGAAGUCCCUUGGAACGGGGCGCCAUAGAGGGUGAGAGCCCCGUACGGUGUAGGCUGGAUGGUCAUGAUGCGACUCCUUCGGCGAGUCGAGUAGUUUGGGAAUGCUGCUCUAAACGGGAGGUAAAUUCCUUCCAAGGCUAAAUAUCGGCCGGAGACCGAUAGCGCACAAGUAGAGUGAUCGAAAGAUGAAAAGUACUUUGAAAAGAGGGUUAAACAGUACGUGAAAUUGUUGAAAGGGAAGCGCCCGCGACUAGACUUGUACCUGACUGUUCGUUCUACGCUCGUCGUAGGAUCUUCUCGGUCAUGGUUGCAGGCCAGCAUCGGUUUGUGCUGGGGGAUAAGAGCAGUGGGAACGUGGCUCAUCUCCGGAUGAGUGUUAAUAGCCCGUUGUACGAUACCCUGGCGCAGAUCGAGGAACGCGUCACUGACACGGAUGCUGGCAUAAUGGUCGUUGACGACCCGUCUUGAAACACGGACCAAGGAGUCGAGGUUUUCCGCGAGUGUGUGGGUGGUAGACCCGCCCGCGAAAUGAAAGUGAACGUAGGUGAGAGCCCUUCCCAGGGCGCAUCAUCGACCGAUCCCAAUGUUCUCGGAGGGAAUCGAGUAUGAGCGGAAGGCCUCGGACCCGAAAGAUGACGAACUAUGCCUGCAUAGAAUGAAGCCAGAGGAAACUCUGGUGGAGGUUCGCAGCGGUUCUGACGUGCAAAUCGAUCGUCAAAUGUGGGCAUGGGGGCGAAAGACUAAUCGAGUC